GACUAACGCUGACGGUAUGCCUUAUACAUGCAAGUCGAACGGUAAGGUCUCUUCGGAGAUACACGAGUGGCGGACGGGUGAGUAACACGUAGGAAUCUGCCCCAGAGUGGGGGACAACUCGGAGAAAUCCGAGCUAAUACCCCAUAUGAUGCAAAUUGAAAGACUUCGGUCGCUUUGGGAGGAGCCUGCGUUUGAUUAGCUUGUUGGUGAGGUAAAAGCUCACCAAGGCGACGAUCAAUAGCUGGUUUGAGAGGAUGAUCAGCCACAAUGGGACUGAGAUACGGCCCAUACUCCUACGGGAGGCAGCAGUAGGGAAUCUUGCGCAAUGGGCGAAAGCCUGACGCAGCAAUACCGUGUGUGGGAAGACGCUCCGUGGAGUGUAAACCACUGUCAGUUGGGACGAAUUUUGACUGUACCAACAGAGGAAGCACCGGCUAACUCCG
This 443-nucleotide ribosomal RNA is filed under the name uncultured cyanobacterium. RNAcentral's name for it is "bacterial SSU rRNA". It matches the Rfam family "Bacterial small subunit ribosomal RNA", at positions 28 to 505 of the family's 1533-position model. The record is from RNAcentral. Lineage: Bacteria; Bacillati; Cyanobacteriota.